GAGUUUGAUCAUGGCUCAGAUUGAACGCUGGCGGCAUGCCUUACACAUGCAAGUCGAACGGCAGCAUGAUCUAGCUUGCUAGAUUGAUGGCGAGUGGCGAACGGGUGAGUAAUACAUCGGAACGUGCCCUGUAGUGGGGGAUAACUAGUCGAAAGAUUAGCUAAUACCGCAUACGACCUGAGGGUGAAAGUGGGGGACCGCAAGGCCUCAUGCUAUAGGAGCGGCCGAUGUCUGAUUAGCUAGUUGGUGGGGUAAAGGCCCACCAAGGCGACGAUCAGUAGCUGGUYUGAAAGGACGAUCAGCCACACUGGGACUGAGACACGGCCCAGACUCCUACGGGAGGCAGCAGUGGGGAAUUUUGGACAAUGGGCGAAAGCCUGAUCCAGCAAUGCCGCGUGUGUGAAGAAGGCCUUCGGGUUGUAAAGCACUUUUGUCCGGAAAGAAAUGGCUCUGGUUAAUACCUGGGGUCGAUGACGUACCGGAAGAAUAA
RNAcentral lists this ribosomal RNA (490 nucleotides) under uncultured beta proteobacterium. RNAcentral describes it as "bacterial SSU rRNA". The record is from RNAcentral. Lineage: Bacteria; Pseudomonadati; Pseudomonadota; Betaproteobacteria.